CCUACGGGUGGCAGCAGUGGGGAAUAUUGCACAAUGGGGGAAACCCUGAUGCAGCGACGCCGCGUGAAGGAAGAAGUAUUUCGGUAUGUAAACUUCUAUCAGCAGGGAAGAAAGUGAUGGUACCUGACUAAGAAGCACCGGCUAACUACGUGCCAGCAGCAGCGGUAAUACGUAGGGGGCAAGCGUUAUCCGGAUGAAUUGGGUGUAAUGGGAGCGUAGGCGGCGGUGCAAGUCAGAAGUGAAAGCCCGGGGCUCAACCCCGGGACUGCUUUUGAAACUGUAUGGCUAGAUUGCAGGAGAGGCAAGUGGAAUGCCUAGUGUAGCGGUGAAAUGCGUAGAUAUUAGGAGGAACACCAGUGGCGAAGGCGGCUUGCUGGACUGUAAAUGACGCUGAGGCUCGAAAGCGUGGGGAGCAAACAGGAUUAGAUACCCCUGUAGUC
This 440-nucleotide ribosomal RNA is filed under the name uncultured bacterium. Its description in RNAcentral is "partial 16S ribosomal RNA". It matches the Rfam family "Bacterial small subunit ribosomal RNA", at positions 338 to 795 of the family's 1533-position model. The record is from RNAcentral.